RNAcentral lists this ribosomal RNA (433 nucleotides) under uncultured bacterium. Its description in RNAcentral is "partial 16S ribosomal RNA". It matches the Rfam family "Bacterial small subunit ribosomal RNA", at positions 29 to 507 of the family's 1533-position model. The record is from RNAcentral.
AACGAACGCUGGCGGCAUGCCUAACACAUGCAAGUCGAACGAGACCUUCGGGUCUAGUGGCGCACGGGUGCGUAACGCGUGGGAACCUGCCCUUAGGUUCGGAAUAACUCCCCGAAAGGGGUGCUAAUACCGGAUAAUGUCUUCGGACCAAAGAUUUAUCGCCUUUGGAUGGGCCCGCGUUGGAUUAGCUAGUUGGUAGGGUAAAAGCCUACCAAGGCGACGAUCCAUAGCUGGUCUGAGAGGAAGAUCAGCCACACUGGGACUGAGACACGGCCCAGACUACUACGGGAGGGGGGAGUGGGGAAUAUUGGACAAUGGGCGGAAGCAUGAAGCAGCUAGGCCGGGUGAGUGAUGAAGGCCGUAGGGUAGUAAAGCUCUUUUACCCGGGAUGAUAAUGACAGUACCGGGAGAAUAAGCUCCGGCUAACUCCGUG